Long non-coding RNA from Toxotes jaculatrix (banded archerfish), 544 nucleotides. RefSeq lists it as uncharacterized. The transcript has 3 exons. Lineage: Eukaryota; Metazoa; Chordata; Actinopteri; Toxotidae. The record is from RefSeq and is a predicted model, not a curated record.
CCAUGGCUUCACCUCCCACCUGAAGGUGCAGACUUGCACCAAGCAGGGCACCGUGGUGGCUGGUUUGACAGCUGCAUGGCAGUUUUCCUCUGGCACCAUGGUCUCCUUGCCAUGGACAAACUGGACACAAGACACAAUCCUCUGAGCUACACCCAAGUCACACGACACAGAGCAGGGUGACGUCUUGAAUACCUUCCACCUGGACAAGUCACAGUGCGGUCCAGGCAGCAGCAGCUCCUCCAUCGUGGGCAGAAGGUCAGGGGUCAGGUGAAGGCGGUAUUCCAGGCGGUUAUCAUCCAGUGGGGAGGGACAAGCAGCUGUGGAGCCAAAGGGAGGCGGACUGUCUGACUCACAGCGAGUCCCGUCCACAAACUGAGAGCCACGGCUCACUAUGAAGUUUUCUCCAUCUGACUGGCACAUAUAUCUGCACUGCUCAUCCCCUGGUUUCGACAAGGACAGUUUACAGAAGAAAAUGUUGGCAAUAUGUUUUCUUGUCAUUUAAAAAAAAAUAAAAUGAGUUUUUUUUGAGCCCACCUUGUGCAAA